UAUUAAAUGAAGCAUCGGGAGUAUUCCUCCUCACCGACUAAAACGUUCUUGUAAGCAGAUUUCUCCAAAAUGUAGUCGAAGGGAGUGAAAUCGAAAUCUGGAACUGGUGGUGAUCUCGGUGGGGCCUCAACGACGACGGUCCGAUCCAUAAACAAUAUGCCGUAUUCAUGCUUUGUUGCUCUGACUGAGUCAGUUGCCUUACGGACCAAGAAAGAGGUGAUCGUCUUCCACUCAUUUUCAACGAAUCGGUCUUCGUAAAAUGGAGCAAGGCGACGAUCAACGGUGGCCUCAAUACGGGAAUUGGAUCCCUACAGAACAUGAUAGUAGACAGUUUUAUAUACAAGUUAAGCGAAUGAACGAAAAAAACACAUAAUGAUUUGACGGAAAUUACCGCGUAAUCUGCCAGGAUAAGGCCGAGUUCGAAGACGUUAGGCGAUAUAACGUUCUUGAAGACUCUCACGACAAAGACAUAAAUUCGCCACCCAGUGAUCUGAGGACACAUAUCUGAGACCAUAUGAAACCCCUCCAUCUCACGGAUAGCAAGAACAAGCGAAUCGAAAGACUAAUUUUUUUUUUGUGAAUGAUAUAACUGCUGGCACAAGAAAUGGGUUUAGAAUGAGGAUUGUGGAUACAAUUAAGGAAGGGAGGAGACUUAAAUAGAGGAAAUCUGGAACGGCUACAGUUAUUAAUGCGGUUCCAACUACACUUGAUUCAAAUAUUUUGUAAUAGCCUGGUAACCGUCAUAUAGGGUAAUUAUAACGUUGAUUUGACAAUAAACAGCAACAGUUACGUCCUUUCCAUUAAAUACCAACAUAACCACAAUAUACCCAACCAUGUCUCCAACUCCGUUCAUUUAAGAGGGGGAAUAAGUUAGAUUUUCAAAAAACUUAUUUCAAAUUACUCAAAAUGUUGAGGAACCACCUCUAUGUACCCUUAUUACAUGAACUUUAACACGUACACAGACAAAAACGUACAUAGUUAUACGAACGUAGAGUUUAAACGUACUUACACAACGUACAUAGUUACAGAUGGAUUAUAUAUAAACUUACGUACAACGAGAAAACACCGAAGCGUACACUAUAUUGGCCGGCUUAGAAACUUGUCACCAGAACUAGAUUGGAUUUCUGCACGUCUUCUUGUUAUGACCUGCUUGUCGACAGCGUGAGCACUGAUUCGGUAAAAGUCUUUUCUGUCUCUUUUUCUGAAGUGACAAAGACAGGAAGUUAAAAAUCUCCGCAUGGUAAUACUCAAAAUACAAGUAGAUGAAUGAACGAUGUUAGUACAUACCCGGUUUUCACCUCUAGAUGGGAUCCUUUUGGACAGUGGUCUUCCUGGUGGUCGUCAACUGUAUGGAGGAAUGAGUAUCAAAUCCACUAUAUGUUGUGGGAUGACAACAUCUUUCGGAUCCGCGAUAGGUAGAAUUGGUUCUCGGAAAGAAUCAGAAAACGUUUGAAGGCCAUACCACCAUCCAACACAAGCCUUCGGAUCAAUUCCAUGCUCGAUUGCAGCUGCUAGAGCGUGUUCACAUGAGAUUCUUAGCUUGGUGUACCUAAGACACGUACACGUACACUGGUCCAGAACGACAUGAAAAUGCUCAGCGGAUUUACUUGUCACUUGAUAGCUCCACGGUCCAGACAUCUUCACAGCGUAUUUACCUGACGCAGGCAACUCUUGUAGAAAUCUCUCAUCAACCUCAGGUGUCACAGAAGAUUUGCUUUUGUUAACACAUGAUUCAUGGACUCAGAGUUGUUGCUAGACAUGAUAUUGUAGCGUUCUCCUCUACAGUGAGCUCUUGUCCAAUGCUCAAAUCCUAUGUCCUCUAGGUAUUUUGCGCAUUUAGCACUCUUUUCCCUUAACAGUUCAAAAUAUUUCUCGAAAUCCCUGACCCUAUAAGCUUUGGCAGCGCUGAAAAAUAAAGCAGACACACCAAACUUACCAUAAUAGGUGGAGAGGUUUCGCUCAAGGUGAACAGCACAUGCUCCAUGAUGCGCUCUCGGGUAAACAACACUUAGGCCUUUGUAUAUAGAUGAAUGUCUGUCCAAGACAAUCAUUAAAUCGUCACUGUCUGGAACAAUCUCAGCUAACUUUUCAAAAAACCAUGCCCAAGAAGCAUCGGUCUCACCAUCAACAACACCAAAACCUAUUGGGAAUAUUUGGAAGUUCCCAUCUUGGGUACAUGCAAUAAGGAGACAUCCUUUGUAAGGUCCGACUAGCUGCGUUCCAUCUACCACAACUACCUUCCUCAUAUAUAUAAGACCUUUGAUAGAAGCGCCAAGAGAGACAAAGACAUACUUUGAAGCGCUGCUUACCAUUAUCUUCUGGUGUAUAGUGUAGGUGUGUUAUUGUACCCGGAUUAGCUAAUUGGAGAAGAUAUAGAUAGGUCGGCAAAAACCUGUAAUUUGCUAUCUCAUCCCCCCUUACAUUUUCCACUGCAACCUCUUUUGCUCUCCAAGCGGUAGAAUAUGAAAUCCGCACAUUCAGAUCAUUUAGGAGCAGCUGUGGUAAAUCGACAGCUCGCGGCCCACCCUGCGUAGAAUUGUAUCUGCUCCUCACAACUUCUCCGAGGAGCUUAUAAUUAGCAUGUUUAUUGUAGUUCUUCCGAGAGUCGAUGUUACACGUAUGUGUCGUAGCAUACAACGUGAUUUUGAAACUUUCUGAAUCUUUCACGACGCGAGCAGUCAAAUGCCAUGGACAAGUCUCAUCAACGCACACCAUCUUCAAUAUUUUAGGACAUGACUUAGGUUGCUUGAAGCAAAAGCAUUGCUUUAUCGCUUGAAGAGACAUUGUUUGUUGCAAGACUUUUCUAUUCUUAAAAACACUUCCAACAAACAAAGUUUUGCCUGUGAUGCUGAUUUCAACCUGUGUCUCAUCAGCUCAAAAAUUGAGUAAGUCAUCGAACACAGGAGCAGCAUCGUUACCGAGAAUCGCCAACUCGCCACCAUGUAACUUAGGAAAUUCAUUAUACACUUGGUAAGCCUCAGCUGCGGUAACUACCCCAUUAUCAUUCAGUGUCCCAGUUGAGGAAGCUCCAAUACCGUCGAUCACUUCAUCCCCGGUGACUUCGUCUAUACAAAUAAGAUUGGAAUCCCUAUGCCCUUCGCAGCGUGUACCGUAACCCAAUGGAGAAAUUGUUUCUCCGCCAGGUACACUAAGACCAGUGUACGUACACGUUUCCAAUAGACGACUGAAUUCCCCUGUAUCUCCGCCAGGUACACUAACACCCGUGUACGUACACGUUUCAAAUAAACGACUGAAUUCCCCUGGAUGUUGAGCAGUCUGUUGAGUGAGACUGACGUCUUCCUCAAGAUUUUGUUGUACAUAUUCUUCUACUAUUACAUCGUUCCACUUGUUGUAAUCGUAUUCUUCGCCAAUACCUUCACUAUCGUCUGUGGUAGGAUACAGAGUACUUCCCCCAAUAGAUCCAUCCACACCAAGAUAAUCAUCACACCCAUCAUCAUCUUCGUUGCCUUCCUCCACUUCAUCCUCUUCUGUUGUAUCGUCUUCAACAUCGGCUUGUUUCUCUACAUCCUCAUUAUUUUCAUCAACAUUUGUAGCACUAUCAAACACACGGUCACUUUCAAAAACUUCACCAUGAGACCUAGAGACAGUAUUCCCGAACGCCUUCACGGUAGUAUUGAAAGAGACGAACAAGUUGAGAGAAAGAUACCCACCACGAACCAAAAAAAACGUAUCAAGACCCAUCUGACUGUCAAUGUAUACAGGAGGGCGUUUAGUAUCUAUCAGCACUGACAUUUCUCCCGGCAUCCAGUAGCUAAUUAUGGGAUUGAUCUCGGUGGACUUCAAACUGAAAGCGUCUCGGAGUGUACGGACAAAGUCCGUGUACGUCAUGGUUUCCUGAACGCGUACACAACGACCAAACAUGCCUUCCUCAGGUUCAAAUUUCCAUUCUCCUUCUUUGCAUUUCCACUCACCGACCAUAACCCACCUGCAUCAUAAAUUCAGGAGACACACAUUAAAUGCAACUGAAAAAUACUAUACAUAUAAAAAACAAAUGGAAUGUCGAUACUACACAUUUAUAAACCUAAAUACCAAUUAUCAUUUGACUAUUUUAAACAAACAAAUAUAGAUUUUUCAAAUUUUCUGAUAAAAACAUGGAGUUCGAACACAAUCAAGAUCCUAAUAUGACAUAACAAAAAACUUCUUAAAAGAACUUCGUUACUUACACGAGCAAUGCUUGUUUUGGCUCCAAACUUGGUACAAAAACAAGAUCAACACUUCUUCAGCAACAAUAUACGUUCUCAAUAAUUCUUUAUUCCUGGGUUCAUCUUCUUUAUCUCAACAAUUAUUAUCAAUAAUUUUUUUAAUAUUAUUUGAUGUAAUGAUGAUUUUGCAUUAAUUGUGACAAUAGUCACAUCUAAACUUUUUGGAGCAUUAAAUGUUGAUGUCACUUCGGAAUAAUGGAAAUAAUCUCACUUGUAACGGAACCGAAUCGUGUCAACGUGAAACAAAAAAUCUUCAACUGAACCAGAACAGUGUACGUAACUAAACCUGUUAAACUAAACCGUACAUUUCAACAGUUACUAAGAGAGAAGCGCAAGGGCAGAAGCGUCAUUUUGCAGGCGAAAAGACAAAUGGUGAAAACCACAUUUGACUUUGACAAUCCAUGGAAAUAAAACAUGGUAAACGGGAGGGAAAGGUCUUUAAACAAACCUUACAAGGUCUUAAAUAUCUCUAGAAAGACACAUAUCUCACCUUUAUUCUUUUAUUUCUUUUUUAUUCUUAUUUUUAUUAAUUUUAUAGUUAAAUACCAUUUAUUUUUAGGAAUAAGUUAGAAAAUAGUACGUUUCCCAAACUUAAUUGGAAAACUAGUACAUGUACUAUUUAUAAUUAGUAGAAUAGUCAUAGUACGUUUUGUUUUUGUUUGGUGAAAGAGAGAGGUAUAAGGGAGAGAGAUAGCGUGUGAGAGAGAGUGGGUCAAGUGUGUCAGGAUUUUAUGUAUAGAUAUAUGUAUAGAUAUUAUUUGUACAGUGUUCAGUAAUAUAAAAACAAAAAAUUAUUAAACAAA
Molecule: small RNA, 5026 nt
Filed under: Arabidopsis thaliana (thale cress)
Lineage: Eukaryota; Viridiplantae; Streptophyta; Magnoliopsida; Brassicales; Brassicaceae
Description: ATSL168750
Source: RNAcentral